This 1147-nucleotide small RNA is filed under the name Histoplasma capsulatum. Its description in RNAcentral is "hypothetical RNA". Lineage: Eukaryota; Fungi; Ascomycota; Eurotiomycetes; Onygenales; Ajellomycetaceae. RNAcentral also lists the same sequence under 1 other name. The record is from RNAcentral.
UAGAAUAUUUUAACGUCUGUUAAAGGGUGUAUAUUAGGUGCACCAAGAAGCCAAAUGGCGGCUGGGAAUUAUUGAUAUUGAUAUAAGGCUUCCGAUGAUAGGGUGAAAAGGAACAGGAAAUCUUUAGCUGAAAAUUGACAAAAUAUGUCUCAAAGAAUGUGGGCUCCUUCAAUUUAUCACUAGCUACCUAUGGUAUGUAUGUAGGUACAGUAUUAUCGUUGCAGUGAUGGAUGACAGAUAAAAAAAAAAGGACCGUGAUGAAUACAUAAUAUUUGCUAACAACAGAGACAUGGCAAAGCCCAAAGGAAAUUAAGGGGGAUAAGAACAUUCUUCCUUGGGGUAGGAGAAGAGAAGUAAAACCACAACAGAGAAGCGAAUACAAUAGGGAGAAAUGCAAGAUUGAUCAUGGGAAUAUCGAACGGGGAGAGAGACACGGACCACAAAUUUAAACAGAACGAAAACGAAAGGGUCAUUGGACGCCCAAUGCAAACAUCACAUCGGAUAUUACUCUGUAAGCUGUUUAGCUAAUUCAUUCACCACGCCACGGAAAGCGCGACUCUUGUCACCUUCAAUGAAUUGACUCCCAACUACUGUUUUUAGGUCUACCGGGCGGAUAUCGCUCCUUCCUAAGAAGAAUGGGCUACGGCAGCCGUGAAAAGACCGGAAAAGGAUUUUUGAUUCCUCAAAUUUGAACACUGCAAUAUAUUUUGCGAAAAGGUAGUGAUUUAAAAGAGCAGGAUGUCCUGCAAGCACCUGUAGAGUGUGCUCGAGCCCGUCGGGGUGUUCCCGGGCAAGGAAAACCCAACGGUGGGAAACGGAAUUAGUAGCAGGCGCGUCAACUCGCAUAACACGUUGUUCAGAGAGCAAUAUACCAGCGGUCUCCCAAAAUGGAGUAUCCUCGAUGGUUUCGACGUCCAAUUGAGGAUUUUGUCUGACGAUAGCGGUAAUGGUAGACGUCAAACGUCUCAUUAACUCGGAGGGCCCGGUUGGUUCAUGCGCUUCGUAUAUGACAUGUUUGUUCAUUUUGUUCUCGUACGGUCAACCGCCGGGGUUGAAUAGUUUUCCCGCGUUGCUUUUUUAUAUGUUCGAUUUCGUACUAGGAGAGAUGUGGUUCUUGUUUGGGCGACUUGGAGGAUGGAAAGAUGGG